AACACAACUGAUAUGCACCUAAGUUUAUUAUGUAGCUUUCAUCCUGUGGCAACUGUGUAACUCAAUGGUAAGCUUAUAGGUAUGUUCGUAUGGAGAGGUAGGCCUAUUACCUUUGUCAUAAUUUGAAUUAUGAUUUUUUUCUUAAGGCUCAAAACAGGUAGAGAACCUCAAUGAUGCUGGGCCUAAUUUAAUGUUAGACAUUUUGAAAGCAGCAUGUGUAUUGUUUAUCACGAAAGCAGAAGUGACCUACAAGAUAAAUCUCCAGCCACCAGACCAGACAAGUCCUUCGUCCGUUGGAGAGCCCUCACAAAGGACUCGGGACACAUGUAAGACCCAAAGAAGACCCUGUUAAAGACAGGCGCAGAGCAUAAAGAGAGAACAUAAAUUAUAUGUAUUAAUGGUAUAGUAUAUGUAUUACUGGUAUAGUAUUUUUAUAUGUAUUGAUGGUAUAGUAUAUGUAUUAUUGGUAUAGUAUAUGAAUUGAUGGUAUAGUAUAUGUAUUACUGGUAUAGUAUAUGUAUUGAUGGUAAAGUAUAUGUAUUACUGGUAUAGUAUAUGAAUUGAUGGUAUAGUAUAUGUAUUACUGGUAUAGUAUAUGAAUUGAUGGUAUAGUAUAUGUAUUACUGGUAUAGUAUAUGAAUAGAUGGUAUAGUAUAUGUAUUACUGCUAUAGUAUAUGUAUUGAUGGUAUAGUAUAUGUAUUACUGGUAUAGUAUAUGUAUUGAUGCCAAUUGAUGGUAUAGUAUAUGUAUUACUGGUAUAGUAUAUGUAUUGAUGGUAUAGUAUAUGUAUUACUGGUAUAGUAUAUGAAUUGAUGGUAUAGUAUAUGUAUUACUGGUAUAGUAUAUGAAUUGGUGGUAUGUUAUAUUAACUGAAGAUACAAUUGCAUGCAUUGAUGGUAUAUUAUAUAUAUUGAAAUUAUUGAAAUUAUAUUGUUUGCAUUGAUGGUAUAAUACAUAGAUCUACAUGGAAGGUAUCUUGAGUUCCAAUAGGGAUUGUUAAUUUUCAUUAACAAUAAAAUGCCCUACGGCUAUUAAAUUUAAAAUAAAGGUGUUACACUUUCCAUUAUUUGUGUGCCUUAACUGUUACGCUAUUGUGCA
Molecule: long non-coding RNA, 1099 nt
Organism: Biomphalaria glabrata
Lineage: Eukaryota; Metazoa; Mollusca; Gastropoda; Planorbidae
Exons: 3
Source: RefSeq, a predicted model, not a curated record